CCUAAAACACUAAAAGCACAAAAGAAAGCCAAAAAGUGAGGUGCAAGAUUUUUUUAUUACUUGUCUGAAUCAACUUGUCAUCACUAGAAGCAAAGGACCAAUUUGACCAAUUUAAAAAGCAGCAAAAAGAAGGAGAAAUUUCUUUAAAUGAUGAUGAUAUCUUCGAAAAAGUAUUCGGGGCCGAAAAAAAUGGAUAUCUUCGCGCAUAUGGCCUCGGAAAAAAUAUCAGUCAAUAUUUUGGUGAUAAACCAACAAAAGUACAACUUAUAAAGCAACUAGAAUUGAUCAGAAAAGAGGCAAAUGAGCGUGUGAAAGAAGUUAGAAGGGAAGCUAAGGAACAAGUUGAAAAAAUCAAGAAAGAUAUAAAUAAUCAAUUAGUAGAAAUGAGUAAACAAUGGGAAGAAAAUUUUUGAAUUAUACUUGUAGCACAAGGUCUACAACAAAAUGAUACAGAUCUAACGCCUGUGGAGGAGUUAUAAAAGCAUCAAGGUCGACGGGCACAUGAAUAAUGUUUUUCCUCUUGUCAAAGCUUAUUGAUAUG
Molecule: non-coding RNA, 541 nt
Organism: Nicotiana tabacum (common tobacco)
Lineage: Eukaryota; Viridiplantae; Streptophyta; Magnoliopsida; Solanales; Solanaceae
Source: RefSeq, a predicted model, not a curated record